CCUACGGGAGGCAGCAGUGAGGAAUAUUGGUCAAUGGACGAGAGUCUGAACCAGCCAAGUAGCGUGAAGGAUGACUGCCCUAUGGGUUGUAAACUUCUUUUAUAUGGGAAUAAAAUGUUCCACGUGUGGGAUUUUGUAUGUACCAUAUGAAUAAGGAUCGGCUAACUCCGUGCCAGCAGCCGCGGUAAUACGGAGGAUCCGAGCGUUAUCCGGAUUUAUUGGGUUUAAAGGGAGCGUAGGUGGAUUGUUAAGUCAGUUGUGAAAGUUUGCGGCUCAACCAUAAAAUUGCAGUUGAAACUGGCAGUCUGGAGUACAGUAGAGGUGGGCGGAAUUCGUGGUGUAGCGGUGAAAUGCUUAGAUAUCACGAAGAACUCCGAUUGCGAAGGCAGCUCACUGGACUGCAACUGACACUGAGGCUCGAAAGUGUGGGUAUCAAACAGGAUUAGAUACCCCUGUAGUC
This 460-nucleotide ribosomal RNA is filed under the name uncultured bacterium. Its description in RNAcentral is "partial 16S ribosomal RNA". It matches the Rfam family "Bacterial small subunit ribosomal RNA", at positions 338 to 795 of the family's 1533-position model. The record is from RNAcentral.